CAAAAUAUAUAUAUAUAUAGAGAGAGAGAGAGAGAGAGAGAGGGAGAGAGAGAGAGAAGGAGAGGUGAGGUUGCUUUAAUCUAGCCAAAAACAGACACCGGGGAAAGAAACAUCAUUGGGCAGCGUGCCAUUGCCAUUCCUGGGCAGCGUGGUGGCAACAUCACAAAAGGGUCCUUCCCACUAUGCCACUCUUGGCCCAUAUCACACAGCUCACAUUAUCAAUGUCCUUCCCACCCUUCAUGAGGGGAAUGUGCCAGGGUGCUGCAGGUUUGUUAUCAUAUGGGACAGCGUGAGUUUCCUCUCGGCUGCUGUGAUCCAGAAUUGGUUUGACAAUCACCCACAAUUUCAAGCUCUCUACUUUCCAUCUCACUCUUCUUUCCUGAACCCUAUUGAGGUGUUCUUUUCGGCGUCCCGUUAGAAGGUAUAUGACCACCAAUCCCACCAACCUCUCCUCCAGACGACGGAAUGUGGCGAUAUUGAUGUGGAGGCAUGCCAGGGCUGGGUAUGCCUCUCAAGACCGUACCUCCCCCGAUGUUUGGCCAGAGAGGACAUCGCUUGUGAUGUUGAUGGGGUGCUGUGGCCAGAUACACACCAAAGACCGUACCUCCCCAGAUGUUUGGCCAGAGAGGACAUCGCUUGUGAUGUUGAUGGGGUGCUGUGGCCAGAUACACACCAAAGACCGUACCUCCCCAGAUGUUUGGCCAGAGAGGACAUCGCUUGUGAUGUUGAUGAGGUUCUGUGGCCAGAUGCACACCAAAGACGGGCUGGGCUGUAAUUGCAAUAUACUGUUUUUUGUUUACAAUACAGUAACUAUGUUCAUGUCAUCGUCAGUUAUAGAAAUACCAUUUUUAGAAGAGUUUAUGUAGUUUUGAAAGGAAUUGCUUUUGCAAGAGAUGUAAGAUAUUCUGUAUUUUGUGUAUAUGUUUUUGAUUUGUGUCUGUAGAGUUUCGACAAAGAGGGCCCUAGUUUUAGAGAUUUGGUUUCAGCAAUAGUAAAAAACUGUAAACUUAAAGGGAAGAGCAAAUUAGUAUGAAUGCAUACUGAAACAAUUCGUAUUUUCAGACAUCCAGUAUCUUAAAGGAGGUUUAACUGUGCACUAGUUCUCAUGUCUCUGCACGCAGUGAUGGAAGCUUAUACAGGUUACUUUGUAAUCACUUUAAUCUACUAAAUGGUCUGUGGGUACCUCAAGUCAGUCAUUCUUUAAUCAUUCUCCAAGUUUUCCCUGAUGUAGAAUGUCUUAAAUCCAUUAGUGUGAUUUCCUUUACACUCUGUGGCUCAUGCUCUCUGAAAUCGAAACUCAGAUCUUAAGAGAGAGUCUUCUAAGAGGGAGUCUUGAUGAGGACGGCAGAGGAAGAGCACCACAGGAAAGGAUUAUGGAAAACAAAUGUGAUGAAAAGAUUAACUCGCUUAAUAACAACACAGGUCACAGCACCCAUUUCAUACAAUGAACCAGAAAGAAAGGACGUCUGUGUUUAUCAAGUAAUCCUUCCACAAACUGUGUUUUCAGUACUGUGCAAAUGUAGCAGGCCUUCCUCGGACAAACUCAAGUAGUUAAAUUCACUGAAAUACGUCACACAAAAAUGUUUUAUUUAAAACAUUACAUGUGACUUGGAAAUUAUUUGGUAGAUUACGUCAAUAAAAAAAUCGCGAAAUAGUUUAUUCAUUCCAGUGAAGAACCUUUGAAGUCCUCUUAAACACCAGAUGUGUGUAUUAAAGCACUGGGCAUAAAUCAACAAAAGAUUUGUUGUGCACAUAUGAAUAAGAAACAGUGUGUUUAUACUCUUUAAAAGCGCCCUGGGGACACUGGUAUGCCGUCCGAGGCAUACUUGAUCUCAGGCCCAGCGAUUGAUGAAACCCGCAACCCCCCCGGGAUGGUCCAAGAUGACGACGAGUCAGUUAGAAUGGAAGCUUUCAGCUCCAAACCAGACGCCUGCCUCCUGUGACAAAGCUAGUCCCCUAAAAGUGAUGAAAACCUUUUAUGCUCACUGAACAUUUUAGACAAUGGGGCACACAAUAGUUGUUUCACAUUACUGUAGUGUAAUGUAAUUAUGAAUGACAUUAUCUCACUUGUAGGUCAGAAGGUUGAAAUAAAUGGACACUAGCUGUGGCUGUGGCUGUGGCUCUAGCUUGCGAGACAGCGUUGGCACUUACUCGUGGUUAAUGACCGUCAGAGAACAAACUGAACUUGGCACCUUUCACCUCUGACCUAGCGCAUGUUUCCUAAUUGGACCAACUGUGGGAAACCUGUGAAUAACAGUCAAUGUUAGCUUCAAAUAUGCGACAGCAUCAAGACUCAUCGUAUGUCCGGCAGUGCUAUUAUAGUUAACAAAAACUAAGACAAAAAAAUAAAACUAGCACUGCAAAAAUGUAUUUUGUUCACUUAAAUAGAAAUGACAGUUUUCAAAAACAGUAAAUAAAAACUACAAUGAACAAUGCCACACACAGUAAAUCAUUCCUGAAAAAAAACUACUUAUGCACUCAUGAAACUAACUAAAACUAAACAGAGAUAAAAAAGCAAACUGGAAGACUAAAUUAAAUUAAAAGCCAAUAUAUAUUUCAAAAGUUUGAUAACUUCAGAAGGCUAGUUUCUACUCAUAUAGUCCAUAAUUAGUUCUGAUGAUGAAUUCAGUCUGACCACUCGUAUGAUAUGGUUUUCAAAACCAUUAAUUUUUCUAUUUACAACCAGAAUACGUUUUUUUCCCCUAAUAUUACUGCCACUUUCCAGAGCUAUGAAACUCCCCAAAUGACACCCAGUUCAUGUCAUAAACUUGAAGAAAGACAGCCUGUUACAAGGCGUUUAUAUGGAAACUGAUGAGAACUAAAUUCCUUGGAGAGUACUCCCUGAAAUAGGUCCUUCAAACAGCAACAAUCAAUCACGUCUCUGAGGCCUCUGAGGCCCUCUCUAUCUCAGGCUCUCCUUCGCGCCGAGGUGGAGUGCCCCAUUACAUUCUCAGAAUCGCUCUGAUUCAUCCAGCUCAUCAAUCCCGUUUUCUGCACAAAAACAACUAAAAAACACGUAGCUCAUGUGACCAAUACCAAUGAGUGGUGUGGCAGUCCCUUGGUGGCAUUCCAGUGAAUAGGACUGCAGAGCCUUGGACCCAGAGACAUUUAAUGAGGACUUGAUCUCUGAAACAGUCGAUGGGGAAUGAAGUCUGAAAAUGAAACACUUUGAUCUUGGUAUCCCCAAAUACUGUAGAGGGAGGUGAGAAGAUUAGGUCUCAUUGAACAACUCAUAAGCUCAGCUGCACCAUAGACAAUGCAGCAUACAGGCCUUCAUAUUACGCCGAAUACAAUGACAAAUAGAGGUUUGGACACGGACAUAUCUACUCUUAGUGGUGCUGUGUUCCAUCUCGAACACAAACUACAAUGUAACUAAUGGGAGCAUAUUGGGAUUUGCUUGGUUCAUGAUUGAAGUAACAUUUUUAAAAGAGCUGAUGUAUCUUUUCUGAAGAGGAUCGAUUCAGAGGGGGUUAAAAAACAAGGAAACAAAAAAGAAGCUGAUUUCAACUGCUCUGUCAUCUGUUUUUAAAAAAAAAAAAAUGUAACUCAAUGAAAAUGCAAUGACUGUAAUUAACCCUAAUGCCAAAAGUGGUUUGUAAAUGGUUGCUCAUUCAACACUGCCAGCAUUGCCAUACUCACACACAGACGCUUUGAUUUAUGUUGUUGAGCGGAGCACGACUCUUAAAUGUCACAAGUCAAUUAACACAGUAACAUAACAGGAUUAGAUGGUGGAUCGAGUCGUUUAAAGGCGGAGGCUUAAUUAAUCAGUUUCCAUGUGGCUACUUUCAUUUGCAUGAUUUGCGAGCCACAGUGUUAUAAUUUUAGACUGAGAGACAACACAGUUACAGGAAGUCUGAGCAGUGCAGGUUUGAGUUUCUUUUGGUCUCUUGUACCAUUGAAGAGGAAGGAUAAUUUCUUGUUUAUAGGCAAUGAGUAUGGAGGUUACAUAAUUAUACAUAAUUAAUACGACUGUCAUUGAUUGUGUUGUAUAGAGAAAACUUUGUAUUAGAUUAGAUUUUAAAGUCAUGCUUUCUGCUGCUGAUGAAUAAAUAACAAGCUUGCAAUUCUGUCAUGAAACAAAAAUACAUUGAUUACAUUUAUAAACAAACAAAUUAACAAAUCACAACUUUUUCUGAACCAGCGGCAGUAAAUGGGAACAUUGGCAAAUAUUGUGUAAUUGGUUGCUUUUGAUAGUUUAGUCUCCCCCCCCCCCCCCCCCCCCCCU
Clupea harengus (Atlantic herring) is the source of this 4225-nucleotide long non-coding RNA. The record is from Ensembl. NCBI's taxonomy places the organism in Eukaryota, Metazoa, Chordata, Actinopteri, Clupeiformes, Clupeidae.